This 325-nucleotide ribosomal RNA is filed under the name uncultured Mesoplasma sp. RNAcentral describes it as "LSU rRNA". It matches the Rfam family "Bacterial large subunit ribosomal RNA", at positions 1612 to 1944 of the family's 2925-position model. The record is from RNAcentral. Lineage: Bacteria; Bacillati; Mycoplasmatota; Mollicutes; Entomoplasmatales; Entomoplasmataceae.
GAAAAGCUUCUAGCGCUAAUCGUAUUGUUACCUGUACCGAUAACGGACACACGUGUUCUAGGAGAACAUCCUCAGGCAAGCGAGAUAACUAUAGCUAAGGAACUCGGCAAAAUGACCCCGUACGUUCGCAAGAAGGGGUGCUCACAGCGAUGUGAGCCGCAGAAAAGAGGAAGGGGCGACUUGUUUAYYAAAAACACAGCUCUSUGCUAAAGCGUAAGUUGAUGUAUAGGGGGUGAAGCCUGCCCAGUGCCAGAAGGUUAAGCGCGGUUGUGAGCUGCGGCGUAGCUACCAACACAAGCCCUGGUGAACGGCGGCCGUAACUAUA